RNAcentral lists this long non-coding RNA (1339 nucleotides) under Chloebia gouldiae (Gouldian finch). Its description in RNAcentral is "Erythrura gouldiae (Gouldian finch) lncRNA (ENSEGOG00005004470.1)". The record is from RNAcentral. Lineage: Eukaryota; Metazoa; Chordata; Aves; Passeriformes; Passeridae.
GCGGGAGCGGCGCGGGGCCGCGCCCGCCGGGAGGGAGCGGCGGCGGGCCCCGCCCCGAGGAGAUCCCCCUGCCAGGGGUCCGGCUGCCCUCUUCCCCCGGGGAGCGCGACCCGGGCCUCCCGGAGGGCCGGCAGAGAGAGGGACAGAGGGAGGGGGCGGCUUCCCGCUCCCCUCUCUCGGCGGGAACCGGCGGGAUGGCGGCGGUGCCCGGCGGAAGGCGAGCGCCGUAGGUAGCCAGCACCCUUGGCUGUGUGGAUUUUGGCUGAGAUGGUGAGGAGUGCUGCAACCCAAGUGUGAUUCCACCGCCAACUCCAUCAGUGCUUCAUACUGAGAAUGGGUCUGAGGGAGAUGGAAAAGACCUGCUGGGUUCCAGGGAGGAAGGCAGGCAAGCCAGAAGCAGAGACAAAGGAUAUCCUUGUAAUGCUGACGGUGAAGAGACAACGGAUUUUUCACCUUUCAAGGAACUUCCUACACCAAGUGAUCCUCCAACAGUCCUUCCACCAUUGGAGGAUUAUGCUCUGGGUCCUUCAAAUCCUGAGUCAGAUUUUCUCUCAGAAAGAAGUCUGCCAACUUUAGUAGUGGCAGGAGUCAGCAUUGCCCUUGUGUUGCUUUGUAUUCUUAUAGUCUCUAUUUUUUGGUAUGCAUGGAAAAAAUCACAAGAAGGCUCGAUUGAACUCAAUCCUCUCCCCUACGGUGAGGCUGGGGUGUCCUUAGGGAGCCCUUCGGUGCCGGAGCCCCAGCAGGAGUGGCCUUCUGAGAAAGCAGUGCAGUGAGAGCAGGAGAGCUCAUCACCCUCGGGGAGGAAAGGAAAGCCCUCUCGAUUGUAGAUAGUUGAACAGCACUCUCAAAAGAGCUGUAUCUGAAAAAAAAAAAGUUACAUUCUUGAAGUGAUAAAUGUCCUUCUUAGGGAAAAUGCCACGCUUAGACUAUUUUCUAAUCAAUUAAACCUACACAGGAACAUGACCACUGUUGAGAUUAACUGGAAUGGCCACUGUUUAUGCUUGUAUGCCUGUGAAUUUCCUACUGGAAAUGGCUUCUGGAAGAUUUUAGCUUCCAAAAUCUGGCUUGAGCCACAACUAGUUUACCAGCAUAAACAGUGUUAUUCCAGUGCCUGGGAGUUUCCUAGUCAUUGUUUUAUUUGCUAGUCUAGAUAUUGUUAUCAUUUACAGUUUAUUUUAAAUUACACAGUUGAUACACCCACCCACUCCUGGUCAGGGAUUAUUCAAAGAUGACCACUGCAAACCUUUGUUUGUUCAUUCUGCUACUCAGUGGAGGAAGUAGUGGAAGCAUGACAGUGUCAUCCAAUAAAAUUCAGGGGUUUGGGCUUAAUUGAUUCUUA